AGUCUGAUAGAUUAUUUUUGCAUUUGGCAUUGAGACAUGAGUUCUGAGCCUAAGUUACAUAUCAUUAUGGUUUGUUUUAACAUCAAACAGUGUGAGAACCCAAAAUUUUCUUGCUGGCUGAUUCUUUGAUAAAGGAAGAGGUUCAAUUUCUUCGUGUGGCAAUGGGGCAUGAGGAUGAAUCUCUUGAUGAAUUUAUUAAAGCACAUGAUGCAUGCCAAGAAGAUCUGAUGUACUUCCCGGCUCAUAAUGCUUAUGGUCUUGCCAGCAUUGCCAACAAUAGUGACCAACUUGUGGCCUUGCAAAACGAAUUUGAGAAUGUGAAGAAGAGAAUGGAUGAUGAGGCCAAGAAGGCCCUGCGGCUUGAGCAGAAGAUAAAAGUUCUUACUCAAGGAUAUCAAGUAUAGUGAGAAGUGCUUGUCAAAUGUCAUGGUAGCCAUAUGUCAUUACCACCAUCCUAUUUUUGGAUCAGAAGCUGGUGAAUCAUAUGGCCCUACUUGUACUGCAUUCCCAAUAUAUUUCAUUUUCUUCCCUAGGACUAGAGUUGCAUAUCAUUUGGCAAUUUGAAACCUAUGGAUUAAUGAUAGGCAAAACAUAGAGUAUUUUUAUUUUAUUUUCUGCUUAUCUUUUUUGUACAAAUGGUUCCUGUGUACAAGAUCUGAAUCCAAUCAUCCAGUAGGCCAUCCCUUGGAUUGGCCAUUUCCUAAAAUGCAAACUGAUUGGACAAUCGGCAAUGCUGACUGUUGGAUUGGAGGACAUUUCAGGAAGAAAAAGAUGGGUGGUCGAAACACUUCGAUUGACCUUUUAUAUAAUCAUCCAUUUUCUUUCCCCAUUGUUUCUCCAAAAGAAUGGUUGGGAUUGUGUGAAUGCUGUUAUCUUUUGGGGCAUGGCCCAUCCAAGGUAAAGCCGAUGUAAUGAUUAGUUUGGAUCUUUUACACAUUCGGCAGGUUUGAAAAUUGAGUCACUUCAGCCAAAAAAGUGACAAAGAAUAGACCUUAAUGAUGGUUAGUUUUCCUCAUUUUAGAAUCCUAGAGGUUCCAGUUGACUGAUAGUUGCAUAUCAUUUGAAUUUGCAAAUGCGGGUAGGAAAGUUAUGGUCACAAUAGAAGCCACCUACAAGCAGAUGGACAUUGGUGGAACAGAACUCGAGUGUUUUCAAAGUGGAAUUUGCUUUAUGUGUUAGAGAAACACCGGAGAGCUGAUCAGGAGCUGAAGAAGCGUGAAUUGAAGUUGGAAUUCUAUCUUCAAGAAGCUCGGUCCCAAACACAGAAGCUUCAAAGGGUGCUUCACUUCCAAGAGGUCAAGUGCUUGCUAAAAAGGUGGUUGAACCCAAUGGUGAUCACAUAGAGGAUAAACCAGUAAGUUCCUCAAACUUUUUACUCUUGGAUGUCAUAAAACAAAGAUCAUACCAUCCACUCAUUGGCAUGGAAACAAGUUUUAUGUAGAAUAUGUUUAGUAUCAUUAAUAUUGAGGUAUACAUAAAGCUGGUAUCUUAGCUUGUGGGCCCAGUUGAAUCAUACAAGCUGGGAUCCAGGCA
Long non-coding RNA from Magnolia sinica, 1533 nucleotides. RefSeq lists it as uncharacterized. The record is from RefSeq and is a predicted model, not a curated record. The transcript has 3 exons. NCBI's taxonomy places the organism in Eukaryota, Viridiplantae, Streptophyta, Magnoliopsida, Magnoliales, Magnoliaceae.